UAUAAAGUACUGUGUGGAAGCUCU
This 24-nucleotide non-coding RNA is filed under the name Arabidopsis thaliana (thale cress). Lineage: Eukaryota; Viridiplantae; Streptophyta; Magnoliopsida; Brassicales; Brassicaceae. The record is from RNAcentral.